RNAcentral lists this ribosomal RNA (481 nucleotides) under uncultured bacterium. RNAcentral describes it as "partial 16S ribosomal RNA". It matches the Rfam family "Bacterial small subunit ribosomal RNA", at positions 28 to 507 of the family's 1533-position model. The record is from RNAcentral.
GAUGAACGCUGGCGGCGUGCCUAACACAUGCAAGUCGAACGGAGAUUACGGACGGAAGUUUUCGGAUGGAAGACUGUAAUUCUUAGUGGCGGACGGGUGAGUAACGCGUGGGCAACCUGCCCUAUACAGGGGGAUAGCAGCUGGAAACGGCUGGUAAGACCGCAUAAGUCGGUUAAAUCGCAUGAUUUGAUCGGGAAAUGAGCAAUCAGGUAUAGGAUGGGCCCGCGUCCGAUUAGCCAGUUGGCAGGGUAAAAGCCUACCAAAGCGACGAUCGGUAGCCGGACUGAGAGGUCGGACGGCCACAUUGGGACUGGGACACGGCCCAAACUCCUACGGGAGGCAGCAGUGGGGGAUAUUGCACAAUGGAGGAAACUCUGAUGCAGCGACGCCGCGUGAGUGAAGAAGUAUUUCGGUAUGUAAAGCUCUAUCAGCAGGGAAGAUGAUGACGGUACCUGACUAAGAAGCCCCGGCUAACUACGUG